AGGGGUAUAGCUCAGUGGUAGAGUGUGUGCUUAGCAUGCAUGAGGUCCUGGGUUCAAUCCCCAGUACCUCCA
RNAcentral lists this transfer RNA (72 nucleotides) under Camelus bactrianus (Bactrian camel). It matches the Rfam family "tRNA". From Rfam's summary of the family: Transfer RNA (tRNA) molecules are approximately 80 nucleotides in length. Their secondary structure includes four short double-helical elements and three loops (D, anti-codon, and T loops). RNAcentral also lists the same sequence under 2 other names. The record is from Rfam by way of RNAcentral. Lineage: Eukaryota; Metazoa; Chordata; Mammalia; Artiodactyla; Camelidae.